UACGUAGGGUGCAAGCGUUGUCCGGAAUCAUUGGGCGUAAAGAGCGUGUAGGCGGCUCGAUCAGUCCGCUGUGAAAGUCCAGGGCUCAACCCUGGAAAGCCGGUGGAUACUGUCGGGCUAGAGUACGGAAGAGGCGAGUGGAAUUCCUGGUGUAGCGGUGGAAUGCGCAGAUAUCAGGAGGAACACCAAUAGCGAAGGCAGCUCGCUGGGACGUCACUGACGCUGAGGCGCGAAAGCGUGGGGAGCGAACAGG
RNAcentral lists this ribosomal RNA (253 nucleotides) under uncultured bacterium. RNAcentral's name for it is "partial 16S ribosomal RNA". It matches the Rfam family "Bacterial small subunit ribosomal RNA", at positions 524 to 776 of the family's 1533-position model. The record is from RNAcentral.